This 375-nucleotide transfer-messenger RNA is filed under the name Minisyncoccota bacterium. It matches the Rfam family "transfer-messenger RNA". Rfam says of the family: Bacterial tmRNA, also known as 10Sa RNA or SsrA, is named for its dual tRNA and mRNA-like properties. Its role is to liberate the mRNA from a stalled ribosome. To accomplish this part of the tmRNA is used as a reading frame that ends in a translation stop signal. The record is from RNAcentral. Lineage: Bacteria; Bacillati; Minisyncoccota.
GGGGAUGACAGGCCUCGACAAGGGAAUGUAAUUUAUAUGUGCAAAACGGAAGUCGGAAUCUUCCUUAAAAUUUCGAAAAGAUACGUGCAAACGUUAUCUCUAAAGUAAAAGGAGCUUUUGCUUCUCUUACUCCAGCUUACGCAAUAGCCUAAGCCGGCAUCUAAUCUGCCCAAGUUUGAUAAGCAGAUUCAGGUGUAAUAAUUUCAAACUAGGAAAAGCGAGCGUCUCGGCGCGUUUCCGAAAUCAAGAGAAUUGGCGUAUGGGCAUUUUGUCUUCUUUUAAGCCCACAUGCUGAAAUUCUAAAGUUGACUAUGUUUUGUAGAAUCAUUUAAAUUCUUUUUUUGCACGCGGAUUCAAUUUCCGCCGUCUCCACAA